CCCCCGGGUUUUAUAUAUUGAGAAACGAAAGAGAGAAGGAUUUCCUUUGGGGCAGGAAAAGACAGAUGCAUGGGGGUGGUCAGAUCGAUGUUGAGAUGUGGGGUUAAAAGUCCCAAAGAGCGCAACCCCUUUCUUUUGUUGUCAGCAGGUAAAGUUGGGCACUCUAGGGAGACUGCCGGGGACAAACCGGAGGAAGGUGGGGAUGACGUCAAAUCAUCAUGCCCCUUAUGUCCUGGGCUACACACGUAUUACAAUGGCGGGUACAAAGGGAAGCGAAGUCGCGAGGGGGAGCAAAUCCCAAAAAACCGUUCCCAGUUCGGAUUGCAGGCUGCAACUCGCCUGCAUGAAGUCGGAAUCGCUAGGAAUCGCAGAUCA
This 375-nucleotide ribosomal RNA is filed under the name uncultured bacterium. Its description in RNAcentral is "bacterial SSU rRNA". It matches the Rfam family "Bacterial small subunit ribosomal RNA", at positions 972 to 1351 of the family's 1533-position model. The record is from RNAcentral.